CCUGACAAACCCAAAAGAUCGAAUGGGGAGAUUCAUCGUCAGCGGUACUGGUACGUGUGCGGUUCGCGAUGUCCGAGACUUCGGUCUCGCGGCACGCGUCCGCAUGUUUUUAUUGCCUGGUAUCGUCGGCGUGCACUUCUCCCCUAGUAGGACGUCGCGACCCGUUGGGUGUCGGUCUACGGCCCGGGUGGGUGCCUGUUCCGUGUGCGCUUUAUCGCGUCACUGCGGGGCAGACCCCCGGUUGCCUGACCGGCUGCUCGGCGGUACUCGCAAGGUAUCUGGCCGCAAACAUUCGAACUGCGUCCGGCCCGUCGCAAGCGAGGCAAGUGUCCCCGAAUGUACGGAUCUAAUGCCGUCAUCGGGCCUAGCCAGCUGUUGGUUGACGGUGUCCUAGGACAGGCUAUAACAAUUAUGAUACCGGUCAGCGACGCUACUGCUUUGGUACUUUC
RNAcentral lists this ribosomal RNA (449 nucleotides) under Tromatobia oculatoria. Its description in RNAcentral is "eukaryotic LSU rRNA". Lineage: Eukaryota; Metazoa; Arthropoda; Insecta; Hymenoptera; Ichneumonidae. The record is from RNAcentral.